Saccostrea cuccullata (small rock oyster) is the source of this 347-nucleotide long non-coding RNA. RefSeq lists it as uncharacterized. The transcript is spliced from 5 exons. NCBI's taxonomy places the organism in Eukaryota, Metazoa, Mollusca, Bivalvia, Ostreida, Ostreidae. The record is from RefSeq and is a predicted model, not a curated record.
UUUAAUCAUUUCUCAUUAAAAAAAUUUUCUUUAUCUUUUUCUCUUUUACUUUCAGGUCAAGAAAAUGACGAAAGGGUGCACUACGAAGAACUAAAGGCGGUUAGUAGGGACGGAGAAAUGAAUUAUGACGUCAUCCAAUCGGCAGGCAGUAAUAGCGAUGAAAAUAUCAUUGAAGGUUAUGAAAGCCUUGAUCUACAACACAAAAAAGAAGAAAACAAGUACGAAGCAUUAGGAAAGAUUGAAGAUUACAAAGAUCCUGAUAAAACAGAAUCCGAAACGAGAAAGUCAGCAGAUGUCUAUAUUAAUGAAUUAUUCAAUUGAGUGAAAUACAUGUUGUAUAUGUAUAG